Molecule: ribosomal RNA, 382 nt
Filed under: uncultured eukaryote
Lineage: Eukaryota
Description: partial 18S ribosomal RNA
Rfam family: Eukaryotic small subunit ribosomal RNA
Source: RNAcentral
UGUAAGCGUAUACCAAAGUUGUUGCAGUUAAAACGCUCGUAGUCGGAAUUUGGCAGUUCCGGAAGUGUGCACGUCGUGUGCGCACUUUGCGGGGACUGCUUUUGUGGUCUUGCGUAGGAUGAGGCACUUUCAUUAGUGAACGUCCUCACGCAACCACUCUUUACUGCGAGAAAAUCAGAGUGCUCAAAGCAGGCAUUUGCCGUGAAUGUAUUAGCAUGGAAUAAUAGAACAGGACUCGGUUCUAUCUUGUUGGUUUGUUGGGACUGAGUAAUGAUUAAGAGGGACAGUUGGGGGCAUUUGUAUUCCGGCGCUAGAGGUGAAAUUCUCAGAUUGCCGGAAGACAAACUGCUGCGAAAGCGUCUGCCAAGGAUGUUUUCAUUGA